GAGGAAGAGCUCACUGUCGUCAGGCAGUCGGAGGUGGACAGAUUUUCCCAUCAUGCACUGGGGUAUCAGUGGAUCAGCUGAGAUGAGCAAUACAGUCAGCUGCUGCCUCGCAGAUUUUAUUUACAGCACAUAGCUGACUGAGUGGAGUCAGCUCUGAUCCACCAAUCAACAGAGAGCAGUCAACAACAGGAGACGGAGCCAGAACCUCAGAGCUUGCCCAGGUGAGCAGCCACAGACUUCAUCUACAACACCAGCAGCUGUCACCUCCAGAAGUUCACGGAUGACUCUACCAUUAUCAGCUGUGUGUCUAGGGGGAAUGACCAGGACAGGAGUACAGGUCAGUCAUCAUGGACUUUGUGGGCUGGUGUGAGCAUAACACCUUUGCAUGAACAUCCAUAAGACAAAGGAAACGGUGAUCGACUUCCAGAGAAACACUCCCCCUCACUCACCAGUAAACAUCCAGGGAGCAGACAUUGAGGUGGUAAAUACAUUUAAGUACCUGGGUGUUCACCUCAACAGUAAACUGAACUGCUCCAACAACACAGAGGUCCUGUAAGAGCCGCCUUCACCUCCCGAGGAGGCUGAGGUCCUUAGGAGUUCAUUCCAAUCUGCUAAAAUCUUUAUAUCGCUCUGUGGUUGGAUCUGUUAUCCACUCUGCUGUGGUCUGUUGGGGUGCAGGCAGCGCUGACCGAGACAAGAAAAAAACUGAAUAUGUUAGUUAAAAGAGCUAGCUCAGUUCUGGGUUGCCCACUGGAUUCUGUACAAGUGUGACAGAACAACACAUUCUCACUCCCUAAGCGUCAAAAACAAACGCUUGGUCAGCCACCCUCCACG
Nothobranchius furzeri (turquoise killifish) is the source of this 834-nucleotide long non-coding RNA. RefSeq lists it as uncharacterized. Lineage: Eukaryota; Metazoa; Chordata; Actinopteri; Cyprinodontiformes; Nothobranchiidae. The record is from RefSeq and is a predicted model, not a curated record.